GAUGAACGCUGGCGGCGUGCCUAAUACAUGCAAGUCGAGCGAACAGACGAGGCUCUUUCUUCUCUUACGUUACCGGCGGACGGGUGAGUAACACGUAGAUAACCUACCUAUAAGACUGGGAUAACUUCGGGAAACCUGAGCUAAUACCGGAUAAUAUAUUGAACCGCAUGGUUCAUUAGUGAAAGACGGUUUUGCUGUCACUUAUUCAUCGAACCGGGCCGGAUUAGCUAGUUGGUAAGGUAACGGCUUACCAAGGCGACGAUGCGUAGCUGACCUGAGAGGAUGAUCGGCCACACUGGAACUGAGACACGGUCCAGACUCCUACGGGAGGCAGCAGUAGGGAAUCUUGCACAAUGGGCGAAAGCUUGACGGAGCAACGCCGCGUGAGUGAUGAAGGUCUUCGGAUCGUAAAACUCUGUAAUUAGGGAAGAACAAAUGUGAAAGUAUCUAUGCACGUCUUGACGGUACCUAAUGAGAAAGCAACGGCUAACUACGUG
RNAcentral lists this ribosomal RNA (497 nucleotides) under uncultured bacterium. RNAcentral describes it as "partial 16S ribosomal RNA". It matches the Rfam family "Bacterial small subunit ribosomal RNA", at positions 28 to 507 of the family's 1533-position model. The record is from RNAcentral.